Ostrea edulis (European flat oyster) is the source of this 1563-nucleotide long non-coding RNA. RefSeq lists it as uncharacterized. The record is from RefSeq and is a predicted model, not a curated record. The transcript has 2 exons. NCBI's taxonomy places the organism in Eukaryota, Metazoa, Mollusca, Bivalvia, Ostreida, Ostreidae.
AAAGUCGAAUCACACACAGGAAAGUUCCGGAUUAAGAAUGGGUGGGGUGAUCCGGGUUUUCAAGGAAACACGAAGCUGAUGGAUGACUCAGACAUUCUUGACCUUGAAGUGCAUCCACAAGAAAUGGAGGAUCUCAUGGGACAGGAGUGGCCGAGUGAGGGUCAACAGUGUCCUGUAGAGAAUUGCAAGUCAAGACCGCAUAUUUUUCGGCAGAUUGGAUCCUAUAUCGCCAGCAUUAUCUUCGAUUCCACAAGAAGAAAGUUCCGCAUGAUUAUUGCCCUGCAAUCCAUUGUGGAUUCUUCUCUAUGAAAUUAAAUCCUCUACAGAAACAUGUUAGUAAGAAACAUAAAGGCCUUUAAGGUUGUGUCUACAAAAAAUAUUCCUUAAAUGAAAAAUUUUGUACUCCAGGAUCUGUCGUAAUGCCAGUGCCACCUGUAAACCGCAAAGCAUGAGACCAGGCAGCUAAGGAAAGGAGAUCUCGCAUCACUGAUUUGAGCUUCCUGAGAACUAUAAUUCCAGAGACUCAAAACCAUGUUUCUUUUAAUAUCAAGCUUUAAGUUGUUUUUUAAUCUGUAAAACAAAAAUUUAUUGUAAAUUUUGUUUUUUUUAAGGGGGGAGGAAUGUAGUGGUUUUGAUUUUUAUUUUACAGCCUUGGUUUCGUAAUCUCUAUUUAGCUAGUUUUGCUGGUAUUUCAGUAUGAUAAUUGUAUUUACUUUGAAUUUUCAGUUGUUACUUAUGUAAAACCCCUUUAUUGUUGGUUGUUUUUAAGUUAGGUCAUGUGUUGACAUUCCACAUGUUUUACUUUUAAAACAGGAAGUGUCAUCCAUGUUGGCAGUCUUUCCAUAGUACUUUUGAUAGCUGUGUUCUGAUUGGCUAAGUUAGUCUCAGGAUCUUUGAUAUUUAUUGGCUUCUAUUUUUGGGCCUAGCUAGGGUAUUUAAAGCCGUGUUCGUGUAGUUUUCUUCACUUGGGUUGGGGAACACGACCUCAUGGUUAGUUCCUCUUUACUGUGCAGGAAAACCUCAUGGUUUAUAAGCACUAUUUCAUUAGUACCUUUGUGUUAGGAAAAUCUUAUGAUUUAACAGCACUCUAGAUCUUUGCUUUAGUUAAUUGCAUGUUUUUCAUAAGUUAGUGUAGGAAUAAGCUUAGGAUGUAGGUUUUAUAAAGUUUUAAGUUUCCCCUUACCAAGUCCAGCCUGGUCUAAGGAUAUGUAGAUAACAGGUGUAAAUUCUAGAACCACUAUUUAUUAUUAUUUUGCCCUUUAUAUUUUUGGUGUUGUUUAUUUUCUGGGUCAGUUAUUUUUAGAGCCCAGACUUUACCUUAUUGUUAAUGUGUUGAUAGUUCAACUCUAGAGUGUUAUUGUAGAGUUCAUAUUGGGUGAUGUAGCUCAUCUCUCUUAUAUUUUCCACCUCACUGGUUUAUUUAUAGAGUAUAGGAUUUUUGAGCAUUUGUCUAAGUAAGGAGGCCCAGUAGGGACAUACAUUUUUUUUUUUAGUCUUCUACAUUCCUGCCAUUUUUUUUUUAAUUAGUUAAUUUUCACUUUAUUAAACUUAUAAAACUUUAAA